This 1347-nucleotide ribosomal RNA is filed under the name uncultured bacterium. RNAcentral's name for it is "partial 16S ribosomal RNA". It matches the Rfam family "Bacterial small subunit ribosomal RNA", at positions 28 to 1381 of the family's 1533-position model. The record is from RNAcentral.
GACGAACGCUGGCGGCGUGCUUAACACAUGCAAGUCGAACGGAAAGGCCCUGCUUUUGUGGGGUGCUCGAGUGGCGAACGGGUGAGUAACACGUGAGUAACCUGCCCUUGACUUUGGGAUAACUUCAGGAAACUGGGGCUAAUACCGGAUAGGAGCUCCUGCUGCAUGGUGGGGGUUGGAAAGUUUCGGCGGUUGGGGAUGGACUCGCGGCUUAUCAGCUUGUUGGUGGGGUAGUGGCUUACCAAGGCUUUGACGGGUAGCCGGCCUGAGAGGGUGACCGGCCACAUUGGGACUGAGAUACGGCCCAGACUCCUACGGGAGGCAGCAGUGGGGAAUAUUGCACAAUGGGCGGAAGCCUGAUGCAGCAACGCCGCGUGCGGGAUGACGGCCUUCGGGUUGUAAACCGCUUUCGCCUGUGACGAAGCGUGAGUGACGGUAAUGGGUAAAGAAGCACCGGCUAACUACGUGCCAGCAGCCGCGGUGAUACGUAAGGUGCGAGCGUUGUCCGGAUUUAUUGGGCGUAAAGGGCUCGUAGGUGGUUGAUCGCGUCGGAAGUGUAAUCUUGGGGCUUAACCCCUGAGCGUGCUUUCAAUACGGGUUGACUUGAGGAAGGUAGGGGAGAAUGGAAUUCCUGGUGGAGCGGUGGAAUGCGCAGAUAUCAGGAGGAACACCAGUGGCGAAGGCGGUUCUCUGGGCCUUUCCUGACGCUGAGGAGCGAAAGCGUGGGGAGCGAACAGGCUUAGAUACCCUGGUAGUCCACGCUGUAAACGGUGGGUACUAGGUGUGGGGUCCAUUCCACGGGUUCCGUGCCGUAGCUAACGCUUUAAGUACCCCGCCUGGGGAGUACGGCCGCAAGGCUAAAACUCAAAGGAAUUGACGGGGCCCCGCACAAGCGGCGGAGCAUGCGGAUUAAUUCGAUGCAACGCGUAGAACCUUACCUGGGUUUGACAUGGAUCGGGAGUGCUCAGAGAUGGGUGUGCCUCUUUUGGGGUCGGUUCACAGGUGGUGCAUGGCUGUCGUCAGCUCGUGUCGUGAGAUGUUGGGUUAAGUCCCGCAACGAGCGCAACCCUUGUUCACUGUUGCCAGCACGUUAUGGUGGGGACUCAGUGGAGACCGCCGGGGUCAACUCGGAGGAAGGUGGGGAUGACGUCAAGUCAUCAUGCCCCUUAUGUCCAGGGCUUCACGCAUGUUACAAUGGCUGGUACAGAGAGUGGCGAGCCUGUGAGGGUGAGCGAAUCUCGGAAAGCCGGUCUCAGUUCGGAUUGGGGUCUGCAACUCGACCUCAUGAAGUCGGAGUCGCUAGUAAUCGCAGAUCAGCAACGCUGGGGUGAAUACGUUCCCGGGGCU